GAAUUUUUGUAAAUAUUGAUGUAAUGAAAACCGUAUCUAUGAACAAUGAUACUUCUUUUGCCUCUUCUCUCCUAUUAAGUAAUACAACGUAAUUUCAUCACAAGAUAGCUUCGAGACAUCAUUGCUUUUGGGGCAGUUACUGUUCAUCCUGUACUUCGAUCAGCUGGACCUUUCCAAAAAUGGUUGCUACUCAUAAAUUAAUACUUUGCAUCAGCUUCAUAGUUCUUGUGACGGUUUCACAAAGU
This is a non-coding RNA of Parasteatoda tepidariorum (common house spider), 245 nucleotides long. The record is from RefSeq and is a predicted model, not a curated record. NCBI's taxonomy places the organism in Eukaryota, Metazoa, Arthropoda, Arachnida, Araneae, Theridiidae.